Trichogramma pretiosum is the source of this 2644-nucleotide RNA transcript. It is a transcript of the gene named TGF-beta-activated kinase 1 and MAP3K7-binding protein 3, with no coding region annotated. The transcript has 2 exons. NCBI's taxonomy places the organism in Eukaryota, Metazoa, Arthropoda, Insecta, Hymenoptera, Trichogrammatidae. The record is from RefSeq and is a predicted model, not a curated record.
UAUAAAUUAUCUAAUCCAUUUUCCAUGCAUUUAUCGUAAACGAAAUAAAAGUACAUUACAAUCGGAAUAAUCACGAACUUGCAAUAACAUGUAAGAUUAACUUUUUGAUCAAAGUUUGAAUUGUGGGCAAUUUUUAAUUUAAGUUUAACAAUAUAAUGUGUUACAAAAUUAUUAGGUGCUAUUUACACUUUGAUUUAAUUUCAAAUCAUAUUUUGGUUUGAAGCUCAUCCACAUGAAUGUUUUUAUUCCAUAAAUAAUAAAAAUGAAUACGAAUAAUGAUAAUUAUUAAUACUAAGCAAUCAUUAUCAUUAUGAAAUAUAAUGAUUUGCUCGCUUAGCAUGCUUCAAACUUGAUAAUUUGAAUCGUCCACAAAAUGCAUUCAUUUUAGUGAUCUUAUCUCAUUAUUUUAAUGCUAUGACAAUCAUUACUAAAGUAGUUUUAAGAAAAAUAAUAAAUCCACUGUAGUAGAAGAUGAAGAAGACAGAAGAAAGAGUCUUGUCUUGAAUGAAAUAUGCUGUUUGUUAUAGCUAUGCAAGUAACGCAAGAAAAACAACAAAAAUCAGCCACAAAUUACGUUAGUAUGCCGAGCAAUCAGCAAGUUAUCUAUUACAUCCCUUACCCCAAUUCAUUACAAUCACCAGCAUACACUUCUACAUUUUGGGACCCUGAGGCUGUUUGUUGGACUUACUGUUCUAUACCGCCAAAUAAUCCUUUUGAUCCUUAUAGUAAUCCCUUUUUUCGAUAUUAUCACCCACAAUAUUAUCAAUCUGAUAAUCUGAUCAAUUUAAUGUCUGUGUACCAAUGUACAAGUGGUAGUAAUAUGCAAAAUUUGAACGAUGAUAGCCCUAUUGUUUAUCCCAAUUACAUUCCUUCAAACGAACCUUAUGGUGUUUACGCAGGAUCACAAUGGAGUCAAGAAUCAUCGGUAACCCCAACGAGCUGCGCAACAACAACCACUGAACAUUCAGAACAGUCCUUUCCUCCACCUUCACCCAUGUCCUCGAGAUCAUCAAAAGACGACGAAAGAAGUGAAGAAAAUAACAGUUUGUGUACGGCAAAAAUGAUCGAUUAUGACAACUCCAGUGCUUUAGCCGAGUCUUCAGACUCAAGCGGAGAAUCUGACUCUUACAUGGUAUAUUCUACAGGUAUAAAUCCAGUUAAUCUACUGAAAAAAAAUAUAACCAAAAAAAUUGAAACAAAAAUCAAUGUAGAAGAUGAGAAGAAUAAUAAUUUUUCUCUUCGAGAGAAACUGCAUUCUGAGAGAAAAAAUGCAAAUCAAUUUAUUGCGGGUAAUCAAAAUAAGGAUGGCAAAAUAUUAGAGCAGACUAAUGACCAUGAAGAUGAAAUAAACAAAACUGUAAGUGUGAGUCUACCUUUAAGACUGAAAUUUUCGGUUUCCGAUAAGAAUGAAGAUAUUACUACUGUUAUUGUUGGGGAUAGCACCAUUAAAACAGACGAAGCAAGCGGUAAUACGACUUUGAAACAAUUGGUUAUUCAAGCUGAAAACGAAGAAGUACUUAUGGAGAAACCAACAUCCCCUACCUUGAAUGAAACAAGCUCAUAUGAUUCAAAUUUAACAAAUGAAUCUGAUACCAAAACAAUGUUUGGUGAAUCGGAACAAAAAGUUGAAAAGGACAACACACGAGAAAACUCAUUCCAUAUUGACAGUGGGACCUCUCCCGAGCUUAGUAAAGUCGUAUCUAAUGCUAAUUCUAGUUCCGAAGUUGAUUCAUCAACCAUUGAAAAAGUCGAAUCAUCAAAAAAUUCCUCAACAACUAGCAGAAAAACAAACAAGUACCAAAGGACUCAAACCCACUCAAGACUUUUCAAACUGCUUAACGAGGAACUUCGCUCAGAAAGCAGCUGCUCGGAUAACGGAGCAAAACAAACAGAAGAAAAGUCAUCGAAUGAUACAGUUGAUAAAGACAUGUGUACGAGGGAGCAAACAGUAUCGCGAAUAUCUCGACCGAAAUCUCUGGAUUGCGAAGCAUUGUUCAGACGGUACCAAGAGCAACACGAAGACUCUUACUAUCAGACGUGGAAGAGCAUGAACCGUAACACUCGAAACCCAGGAAACAUGCCGAAUGUUCAUUUAACAUUUCCUCACCGUACUAACGUAUUCUGUCCACGAACUCACAAUUCAUUGCCUCGCAUGAAAUCUCCUUUGAGAAAAGCACCGACUGUGAUAUCAUCGCCAACACCAACUUCAGCGACAAGUCCCAGUCCUAUAACUGUGAUGAGAAACAAUAGACGUUGCUGAUUGUUGGCAAACGUAGUAGAGUGGCUCCUCUUCUGUUCAAAGCAAUGCUCAAUGAGGGUACUGAUGUAUUUAGAAUAAACGAAACUAUUAUUAUGGGGUCCAUUACUGCCUACUAUCGAGAACAGACGAAAAUAUUGCCAUAAAGAGAGACGUUUUGUGCGUACAUACAGAACCAAGAAUAUGCCUUUUUCAUUCCUAUCGGUCCUGAUGUAACUGACUAUUAAAGGAAGAAAAAAACAACGCGAAUACUUUAGUGCAUUCUCUUAUGGCGUGGACGUUUCUUCAUUUAUAGCAACUCCCAGCGGCGCGAAUAUUAUAAUUAUCUAAUACACGUUAUAUAGCGUGAAACUUAUUUUAUUGAAAACGACAUUUACUAUUAUAUAA